Long non-coding RNA from Syngnathoides biaculeatus (alligator pipefish), 483 nucleotides. RefSeq lists it as uncharacterized. The transcript is spliced from 4 exons. The record is from RefSeq and is a predicted model, not a curated record. Lineage: Eukaryota; Metazoa; Chordata; Actinopteri; Syngnathiformes; Syngnathidae.
GGGGAGUCCUGUUGGCUGGGCGUGCCGGACGGAGGGGUUGAGGUCUGGGGCGAGCCCUCGGGAGGGUCGCCCACCUUCCACGUGCGGACCACCUGGCCUUCCUGAAGACGAAAGUCGUGCUCUACGCUACAUUGGAAGAGAAAAAUCCUCAGCAUCGCAUCGAGCCACCAAUCAAAUCCCGGGAGGAUUGGAGGAAAUUGACAAUGAAGAUGAGGAACAAAAGCCUCGAUGACAGCGAGAAGGAGGAGGCAACUGAGCAGGGAUCGGCCUCGUCAUACAUAAAUCAUCCCGCGGGGAUUCAUCAUCCAGUCAUCGCAGCCGCCUCUGUGUGUUAGCGGACGGAGGAGGCCACGCGCAGUUGUCGGAGGAUCAAUGUCUCGUCGGACACGGACAGACGGCUUGCACCAGGCGCGAAGCUGCCCAGUGGGAAUCGCUCGUCAGCCGGCGUUUCUUGUCGUCCUCCUCCCGGAAGCCCCCCUGUUC